GAUGAACGUUGGCGGCGUGCCUAAUACAUGCAAGUCGAACGAAGACUGUAGUAAUACUGUCUUAGUGGCGAACGGGGUGAGUAAACGCGUGGGUGACCUGCCCCCGAAGUGUGGGAUAACAGUCCGAAAGGAUUGCUAAUACUGCAUAAUAUCCAAGAGAUUAGAUGCUUUUGGAUUAAAGGAGUAAUUCGCUUCGGGAGGGGCCCGCGUCCCAUCAGCUAGUUGGUAAGGUAAUGGCUUACCAAGGCGAUGACGGGUAGGGACCUGAGAGGGUGGCCCCCCACAAUGGAACUGAAACACGGUCCAUACACCUACGGGUGGCAGCAGUAGGGAAUAUUAGUAAUGGGCGAAAGCCUGAACUAGCAACGCCGCGUGUGCGAAGAAGGCCUUCGGGUCGUAAAGCACUUUUUGAGAGGAUGAGGAAGGACGGUACUCUCAGAAUAAGUCUCGGCUAACUACGUG
This 462-nucleotide ribosomal RNA is filed under the name uncultured bacterium. RNAcentral describes it as "bacterial SSU rRNA". It matches the Rfam family "Bacterial small subunit ribosomal RNA", at positions 28 to 507 of the family's 1533-position model. The record is from RNAcentral.